Molecule: long non-coding RNA, 240 nt
Organism: Hibiscus syriacus
Lineage: Eukaryota; Viridiplantae; Streptophyta; Magnoliopsida; Malvales; Malvaceae
Exons: 3
Source: RefSeq, a predicted model, not a curated record
UGGAGUUGUUUAUCGUUGGAGUGAGUUGACUCGGCAUUUGAAUCCGGAGAAUCGGAGGCAUUGAUGACCGGAGAAGCGGGAGAGUUGGGGUUUGAGAGGAAAUGUUCGAGGUCAAGGUUGUCGGCGGCAGGGAACCCCUUGCUCGAACGAAGCCGGUCCAGCCAGUUCGAACCGGUCUUAGCGGUCGUGAUAGAGCAGAGCAUUGGGUAACGUCAGAUUGAGCUGAGAAAACAUAAUUGA